CAUGCAAGUCGGACGGUAGCACAGAGGAGCUUGCUCCUCGGGUGACGAGUGGCGGACGGGUGAGUAAUGUCUGGGAAACUGCCCGAUGGAGGGGGAUAACUACUGGAAACGGUAGCUAAWACCGCAUAACGUCGCAAGACCAAAGUGGGGGACCUCCGGGCCUCACACCAUCGGAUGUGCCCAGAUGGGAUUAGCUUGUAGGCGGGGUAACGGCCCACCUAGGCGACGAUCCCUAGCUGGUCUGAGAGGAUGACCAGCCACACUGGAACUGAGACACGGUCCAGACUCCUACGGGAGGCAGCAGUGGGGAAUAUUGCACAAUGGGCGCAAGCCUGAUGCAGCCAUGCCGCGUGUAUGAAGAAGGCCUUCGGGUUGUAAAGUACUUUCAGCGGGGAGGAAGGUGUUGAGGUUAAUAACCUCAGCAAUUGACGUUACCCGCAGAAGAAGCACCGGCUAACUCCGUGCCAGCAGCCGCGGUAAUACGGAGGGUGCAAGCGUUAAUCGGAAUUACUGGGCGUAAAGCGCACGCAGGCGGUCUGUUAAGUCAGAUGUGAAAUCCCCGGGCUUAACCUGGGAACUGCAUUUGAAACUGGCAGGCUUGAGUCUCGUAGAGGGGGGUAGAAUUCCAGGUGUAGCGGUGAAAUGCGUAGAGAUCUGGAGGAAUACCGGUGGCGAAGGCGGCCCCCUGGACGAAGACUGACGCUCAGGUGCGAAAAGC
RNAcentral lists this ribosomal RNA (718 nucleotides) under Pantoea stewartii. Its description in RNAcentral is "bacterial SSU rRNA". Lineage: Bacteria; Pseudomonadati; Pseudomonadota; Gammaproteobacteria; Enterobacterales; Erwiniaceae. The record is from RNAcentral.